This 327-nucleotide ribosomal RNA is filed under the name uncultured eukaryote. RNAcentral's name for it is "partial 18S ribosomal RNA". It matches the Rfam family "Eukaryotic small subunit ribosomal RNA", at positions 1470 to 1796 of the family's 1831-position model. The record is from RNAcentral.
CCCUUAGAUGUUCUGGGCCGCACGCGCGUUACACUGAUGCAUUCAACAAGUUCUUUCACCUUGGCUGAGAGGCCUGGGCAAUCUUUGAACGUGCAUCGUGAUAGGGAUAGAUUAUUGCAAUUAUUAAUCUUGAACGAGGAAUUCCUAGUAAACGCAGAUCAUCAAUCUGCAUUGAUUACGUCCCUGCCCUUUGUACACACCGCCCGUCGCACCUACCGAUUGAAUGGUCCGGUGAAGCCUCGGGAUUGUGGCUGGUUCCCUUUAUUGGGGAUCGGUUGCGAGAACUUGUCUAAACCUUAUCAUUUAGAGGAAGGUGAANUCGUANCA